UUUCCCCAAAUUCUCCAAAAUUCUACAAAUUCUCCCCAAAUCUCCCCAAUUUUUCCCUAAAUUCCUCAAACAUCCACAAAAAUUCCCAAAAAAUUCCCCGAAAAAUCGCCCAAAAUCCACAAAAAUCCCCAAAAAUCCCCAAAUAUGCCCCAAAAUCCCAAAAAGUUCCCCCAAAAAAAUCCCCAAAAAAUCCCCCAAAUUCCCCCAAAAAUCCCCAAUAUUUCUCCCAAAAUUCCCAAAAACCCCCAAAAUUCCCCAAAAAUUCCCAAAAUUCCCCAAAAUUCCCCAAAAAUUCCCAAAUUUCCCGAAAUUUCCCCAAAUUCCCCCAAGGAGCCGCAGCCGAAAUUCGGGUCCAGAAUUUAUUGGGGUCGGAUUUGGGAUUUGGGGAAUUUGGGGAAUUUUGGGUGAAUUUGGGGAAUUUUGGGGGAUUUUGGGAAUUUUUGGGGAGAUUUGGGGGAUUUUGGGGAAUUUUGGGGAUUUUUGGGGAAUUUUGGGGAAUUUUUGGCAUCAGGAUUUUGGGAUUUUGGGAAUUUUGGGGACUUCUUUUGAUUUUUGGGAUUUUGGGAUUAUUUGGGAAUAUUGGGGGAUUUUUGGGGUAGGAAUUGCAGAUUUUGGGAUUUUUGGGCAUUUUUGGGGAAUUUUUGGGGGGGAAUUGGGGAUUUGGGGAUUUUUUUUGGGAUUUGGGGAUUUUUUGGGAUUUUUUUUUUAAGAUUUUUGGGAUUUUCGGGGAUUUUUUUGGAUUUGGGGAUUUUUUGGGAUUUUGGGAUUUUGGGAUUUUUUGGGAUUUUGGGAUUUGGGGAUUUUUAAAAUUUUUGGAAUGGGAAUUAUGGAUUUUGGGAUUUUGGAAUUUUUAGGACAGGGAUUGGGGAUUUUGGGGAUUUUUUGGGGAUUUUUUGGAAAUUUUUUAUUUCGGGGAUUUUCUUGGAUUUUGGGAUUUUUUUGGGAUUUUUGGGGUUUUUGUGAUUUUGGGGAUUUUUUGGGAUUUUUGGGGUUUUGGGAUUUUUUGGAUGUUUUUUAUUUUUGGGAUUUUGGGAAUUUUGGACUUUUGGGGAUUUUUGGGACGUUUUGGGAUUUUUUGGAAUAUUUGGGAAAUUUUGGGAUGGGAAUUGUGGAUUUUGGGAUUUUUAAAGGAUUUUUGGGAUAUUUAGGACAGGGAUUGGGGAUUUUUAAGAUUUGGGGUUUUUUUUUUGAAUUUUUGGGCGAUUUUGGGGAUUUUUUGGGAUUUUUUGGGAUUUUUUGGAUGUUUUUUAUUUUGGGGAUUUUGGGGGUUUUUUUGGAUAUUUUGGGGGUAUUUUUGCAUGGAUUUUGGGACGUUUUUGGGAUAUUUUU
Long non-coding RNA from Lonchura striata (white-rumped munia), 1329 nucleotides. NCBI's taxonomy places the organism in Eukaryota, Metazoa, Chordata, Aves, Passeriformes, Estrildidae. The record is from Ensembl.